This 72-nucleotide transfer RNA is filed under the name Marmota marmota marmota (Alpine marmot). It matches the Rfam family "tRNA". From Rfam's summary of the family: Transfer RNA (tRNA) molecules are approximately 80 nucleotides in length. Their secondary structure includes four short double-helical elements and three loops (D, anti-codon, and T loops). RNAcentral also lists the same sequence under 1 other name. Lineage: Eukaryota; Metazoa; Chordata; Mammalia; Rodentia; Sciuridae. The record is from Rfam by way of RNAcentral.
UGGGCUCUGGCUCAGUGGAAGAGUAUUUGCCUAGCAUGCACCAGGUUCUGGGUUCAAUCCCCAGGACUACAA